Molecule: unclassified non-coding RNA, 281 nt
Filed under: Hevea brasiliensis (rubber tree)
Lineage: Eukaryota; Viridiplantae; Streptophyta; Magnoliopsida; Malpighiales; Euphorbiaceae
Source: RNAcentral
AAUUGCAAUAUGUUUUUGCUGAUUGUUGUUUCUUUCAUCAUUCUUGAGAACAAGAAUGAUUUCAAGGAGUGGGGAAUGUUAUGAUUAAGGAAGUAGAGUAGUUAGUAAGUUGUGAGGGGAAAUAUAAGAGUUACUAGAGAGGGAGGAAGUAGUUAUAGAACUGUUAGAGAUCUAUUGUAAUUAGUUGAGUAUGUCUGUGACAAUUAUAAGAGAGGACUAAGUUUAAAAUGUUGGAAAAGCACCUGUAUUUCUCAUUUAAGAAUCAAAUACAAAGAGUUAUC